RNAcentral lists this long non-coding RNA (2493 nucleotides) under Gossypium barbadense (sea-island cotton). RNAcentral's name for it is "long non-coding RNA (GBAR_LNC011489)". Lineage: Eukaryota; Viridiplantae; Streptophyta; Magnoliopsida; Malvales; Malvaceae. The record is from RNAcentral.
CCCAGAAAAUAAUUAAAAUGGCCUUAUUACAACCCAAAACCAAACAAUAAUAUUAAUAAGAAAAAACUUAUAAAGAAAUAAAUCGGCUACUUAUUGCAAUUAAAAGAAACAGAAACAAUAAUGUGGCCAUCUCCGAGUCCCUCGCAGCUCCAAACCAUCUAAGCUUAGGGAUUACCUGCACAGUUAGAAACGGGGUGAGUUUACGAAAACUCAGUGUGUAAUCCCAAUAACAAAUAAACAGUGAAAACACAGUAUCGUACAAUCUGGGCCAAAGCCUUAUUUAGUCUUGACAUAUACUGGGCCGAAGCCUUUCGUUUAACGGUUACUGGGCCGAAGCCUUUUCAUAAAUCAUAUCACUGGGCUGAAGCCUUUUCAUAAAUCAUAUCAUUGGGCCGAAGCCUUUACUGUAAACGGUAUGGCCCUUAGGCCCAUUUCAAUAUCACAUGUAAUGUCAAUGGAUGUAUGCAAGCCCAUUUGGGGAGACUACUCAACCCACCAUCCGCUACUCUCCACCCGUACCAACCAACACACCAUGUGGGGAAUAACUCAACCCACCCAACCAACACACCACUGGCAACAUAGCUACUUUAUCAUAUAUCUGGAGGCCUAGCCUCUUUAAUAACUGGGGCAAAGCCCUUUUCGGUAAACUAGGGCAAAGCCCUUUUCAAUAAACUGGGGCAUAAGCCCUUUUCGGUAAACUGGGGCAUAAGCCCUUUUCAAUAAACUGGGGCAUAAGCCCUUUUGCACUUCCUCCAUCCAUAUAAAAACCCAACCCAAUGCAACAUGUCAUGUAUGCAGAAUGUCAUGCCCAUAUUUGAAUUAAACAAUCACAGUCAAGUCAUUCAUAUCACCAACAUAUAUUCACAAUCAAAUCCGUCAACCACACAGUCUAAGUCAGUCACUUGCCCACAAGGGCAAAACAGUCAUUUUUCAUAUUAUAAGGGUAUUUUCAUAAUUUUACCAAAUAUCAGGGUUUUCCAUGUUCGUUACAAUUAUCAAUAUUUCCAAGUGUUUAAACAAUGAUCUUUACCCAAAACCCCUAAUGGGCCCUACGAAUGCUGAUUUAGCCUACUUCACCCAAAUUUUACAACAAUACUAACCGUGUUAACGUGCAACUUUUCCAAAUUCCAUUUUCUAUCAAUUCUACCCAAAUGGGUCCGAAAGCCCAUUGGGCCCAAUUUUAGCCCAUUGAGGCCCAACUUACCAUCGUGCACAAAAUUGAGUUCUUACCUGUUCCAUCGAUCCAAACACUGAUCUUAUCGUAUUUAUCGCAUCUAUACCCAAACGCAACAUUACAAGUUCCCGAAAUACCGGUAUUUUAGCAUUUCAGCUUCUCAGCAAAUAUUAAUCUAAGCUAUUACGAGGGUUAGUACACACCUGUUACGAGUUGAAGUUGGAACAUUUCCAAAAUCAAUCGCCUACGAUAACCACCACCUGUCACUCAACUUAACUAAUCCAAUAUCAAUAUAUGUAAAUCCUAAGCACAUCAGUCAUACGGAACAUAAGGGCAUAUUCGUCAUUUUACCAUACAGGGGUAUUACGGUCACUUUACCCUAUAGGGGCUUUACGGUCACUUUACCCUACAGGAGCUUUACGGUCUUUUUACCUAAUAGGGGUAUUUUAGUCAUUUCAUCCUACAAGGGUGUUUUGGUAAAUCUACAAACCAAGGGUAUUUCAGUAAUUUUGUAAACCAAUGGUAUUUCCAUAAUUUUUAAAAAGUCAAGGGUAUUUCUGUAACUUUGUAAAUCAGGGGUAUUUUGGUAAUUUUACAAAUUGAGGGUAUUUCGGUAACUUCACAAACCAGUGGUAUAUUAGUAAUUUUACAAACUAAGGAUAUUUUGGUAAUUUUACAAAUUGAGGGUAUUUCGGUAAUUUUACAAACCAGAGGUAUUUUAGUAAUUUUACAGAUUAGGGUAUUAUGGUAAUUUUACUGAUCGAGGGUAUUUUGGUAAUUUUGUAAACUAAUGGUAUUUUAGUAAUUUUGUAAAUCGAGGGUAAAACAGUAAUUCUGUAAAUCAAGGUUAAAAUAGUAAUUCUAUAAAUUGAGGGUAAAACGGUAAUUCUGUAAAUUGAGGGUAAAACGGUAAUUCUAUAAAUCGAGGGUACUUUGGUAAUUUUACAAUUUGAGGGCAUUUCAGUAAUUUAGUAAACUAAAGAAUUCUAAACAGGGAUAACAAUACGAAUGGGCCUAAAGCCUAUUCUCGGCCCAAAUGGGCCCACACGCUCGUGUGGCCCUUUUAGCCCAAAUCUAGCCACAGAUAUGAGAUUCACCUAGCCUAGUCUAAUAUUUACUACACAAUCAAACAACUUAUCCAAUUGGGCCCGUAGGCCCAUUGGGCCCACAUGACCCCUUUCGGCCUAUCGCGGCCCGAAGUAGCCAUCCUACAGCUAGAGUAGCGAGAAAUACACACCUGAUUGGCGACUGAAGUUAAUCCAAGCUCUGAGCACUCUUAGCCGACGCCCAACCCAAACGAGCACGCCAUACAGCGAAAG